GGUUAAGCGACUAAGCGUACACGGUGGAUGCCCUGGCAGUCAGAGGCGAUGAAGGACGUGCUAAUCUGCGAUAAGCGUCGGUAAGGUGAUAUGAACCGUUAUAACCGGCGAUUUCCGAAUGGGGAAACCCAGUGUGUUUCGACACACUAUCAUUAACUGAAUCCAUAGGUUAAUGAGGCGAACCGGGGGAACUGAAACAUCUAAGUACCCCGAGGAAAAGAAAUCAACCGAGAUUCCCCCAGUAGCGGCGAGCGAACGGGGAGCAGCCCAGAGCCUGAAUCAGUGUGUGUGUUAGUGGAAGCGUCUGGAAAGGCGCGCGAUACAGGGUGACAGCCCCGUACACAAAAAUGCACAUACUGUGAGCUCGAUGAGUAGGGCGGGACACGUGGUAUCCUGUCUGAAUAUGGGGGGACCAUCCUCCAAGGCUAAAUACUCCUGACUGACCGAUAGUGAACCAGUACCGUGAGGGAAAGGCGAAAAGAACCCCGGCGAGGGGAGUGAAAAAGAACCUGAAACCGUGUACGUACAAGCAGUGGGAGCCUCUUUAUGGGGUGACUGCGUACCUUUUGUAUAAUGGGUCAGCGACUUAUAUUCUGUAGCAAGGUUAACCGAAUAGGGGAGCCGAAGGGAAACCGAGUCUUAACUGGGCGUUAAGUUGCAGGGUAUAGACCCGAAACCCGGUGAUCUAGCCAUGGGCAGGUUGAAGGUUGGGUAACACUAACUGGAGGACCGAACCGACUAAUGUUGAAAAAUUAGCGGAUGACUUGUGGCUGGGGGUGAAAGGCCAAUCAAACCGGGAGAUAGCUGGUUCUCCCCGAAAGCUAUUUAGGUAGCGCCUCGUGAAUUCAUCUCCGGGGGUAGAGCACUGUUUCGGCAAGGGGGUCAUCCCGACUUACCAACCCGAUGCAAACUGCGAAUACCGGAGAAUGUUAUCACGGGAGACACACGGCGGGUGCUAACGUCCGUCGUGAAGAGGGAAACAACCCAGACCGCCAGCUAAGGUCCCAAAGUCAUGGUUAAGUGGGAAACGAUGUGGGAAGGCCCAGACAGCCAGGAUGUUGGCUUAGAAGCAGCCAUCAUUUAAAGAAAGCGUAAUAGCUCACUGGUCGAGUCGGCCUGCGCGGAAGAUGUAACGGGGCUAAACCAUGCACCGAAGCUGCGGCAGCGACACUAUGUGUUGUUGGGUAGGGGAGCGUUCUGUAAGCCUGUGAAGGUGUGCUGUGAGGUAUGCUGGAGGUAUCAGAAGUGCGAAUGCUGACAUAAGUAACGAUAAAGCGGGUGAAAAGCCCGCUCGCCGGAAGACCAAGGGUUCCUGUCCAACGUUAAUCGGGGCAGGGUGAGUCGACCCCUAAGGCGAGGCCGAAAGGCGUAGUCGAUGGGAAACAGGUUAAUAUUCCUGUACUUGGUGUUACUGCGAAGGGGGGACGGAGAAGGCUAUGUUGGCCGGGCGACGGUUGUCCCGGUUUAAGCGUGUAGGCUGGUUUUCCAGGCAAAUCCGGAAAAUCAAGGCUGAGGCGUGAUGACGAGGCACUACGGUGCUGAAGCAACAAAUGCCCUGCUUCCAGGAAAAGCCUCUAAGCAUCAGGUAACAUCAAAUCGUACCCCAAACCGACACAGGUGGUCAGGUAGAGAAUACCAAGGCGCUUGAGAGAACUCGGGUGAAGGAACUAGGCAAAAUGGUGCCGUAACUUCGGGAGAAGGCACGCUGAUAUGUAGGUGAAGUCCCUUGCGGAUGGAGCUGAAAUCAGUCGAAGAUACCAGCUGGCUGCAACUGUUUAUUAAAAACACAGCACUGUGCAAACACGAAAGUGGACGUAUACGGUGUGACGCCUGCCCGGUGCCGGAAGGUUAAUUGAUGGGGUUAGCGGUAACGCGAAGCUCUUGAUCGAAGCCCCGGUAAACGGCGGCCGUAACUAUAACGGUCCUAAGGUAGCGAAAUUCCUUGUCGGGUAAGUUCCGACCUGCACGAAUGGCGUAAUGAUGGCCAGGCUGUCUCCACCCGAGACUCAGUGAAAUUGAACUCGCUGUGAAGAUGCAGUGUACCCGCGGCAAGACGGAAAGACCCCGUGAACCUUUACUAUAGCUUGACACUGAACAUUGAGCCUUGAUGUGUAGGAUAGGUGGGAGGCUUUGAAGUGUGGACGCCAGUCUGCAUGGAGCCGACCUUGAAAUACCACCCUUUAAUGUUUGAUGUUCUAACGUUGGCCCCUGAUCGGGGUUGCGGACAGUGUCUGGUGGGUAGUUUGACUGGGGCGGUCUCCUCCUAAAGAGUAACGGAGGAGCACGAAGGUUGGCUAAUCCUGGUCGGACAUCAGGAGGUUAGUGCAAUGGCAUAAGCCAGCUUGACUGCGAGCGUGACGGCGCGAGCAGGUGCGAAAGCAGGUCAUAGUGAUCCGGUGGUUCUGAAUGGAAGGGCCAUCGCUCAACGGAUAAAAGGUACUCCGGGGAUAACAGGCUGAUACCGCCCAAGAGUUCAUAUCGACGGCGGUGUUUGGCACCUCGAUGUCGGCUCAUCACAUCCUGGGGCUGAAGUAGGUCCCAAGGGUAUGGCUGUUCGCCAUUUAAAGUGGUACGCGAGCUGGGUUUAGAACGUCGUGAGACAGUUCGGUCCCUAUCUGCCGUGGGCGCUGGAGAACUGAGGGGGGCUGCUCCUAGUACGAGAGGACCGGAGUGGACGCAUCACUGGUGUUCGGGUUGUCAUGCCAAUGGCACUGCCCGGUAGCUAAAUGCGGAAGAGAUAAGUGCUGAAAGCAUCUAAGCACGAAACUUGCCCCGAGAUGAGUUCUCCCUGACCCUUUAAGGGUCCUGAAGGAACGUUGAAGACGACGACGUUGAUAGGCCGGGUGUGUAAGCGCAGCGAUGCGUUGAGCUAACCGGUACUAAUGAACCGUGAGGCUUAACCUU
Molecule: ribosomal RNA, 2904 nt
Filed under: Escherichia coli
Lineage: Bacteria; Pseudomonadati; Pseudomonadota; Gammaproteobacteria; Enterobacterales; Enterobacteriaceae
Also listed under: 2 other names
Description: 23S ribosomal RNA
Rfam family: Bacterial large subunit ribosomal RNA
Source: RNAcentral